GAAGGUGGCCUGUGAGGGUUGCUGGAGGUAUCAGAAGUGCGAAUGCUGACAUAAGUAACGAUAAAGCGGGUGAAAAGCCCGCUCGCCGGAAGACCAAGGGUUCCUGUCCAACGUUAAUCGGGGCAGGGUGAGUCGACCCCUAAGGCGAGGCCGAAAGGCGUAGUCGAUGGGAAACAGGUUAAUAUUCCUGUACUUGGUGUUACUGCGAAGGGGGGACGGAGAAGGCUAUGUUGGCCGGGCGACGGUUGUCCCGGUUUAAGCGUGUAGGUGUGUGUUCCAGGUAAAUCCGGUUCACUUUAACACUGAGGCGUGAUGACGAGGCACUACGGUGCUGAAGCAACAAAUGCCCUGCUUCCAGGAAAAGCCUCUAAGCAUCAGGUAACACGAAAUCGUACCCCAAACCGACACAGGUGGUCAGGUAGAGAAUACCAAGGCGCUUGAGAGAACUCGGGUGAAGGAACUAGGCAAAAUGGUGCCGUAACUUCGGGAGAAGGCACGCUGACAUGUAGGUGAAGUGAUUUACUCAUGGAGCUGAAGUCAGUCGAAGAUACCAGCUGGCUGCAACUGUUUAUUAAAAACACAGCACUGUGCAAACACGAAAGUGGACGUAUACGGUGUGACGCCUGCCCGGUGCCGGAAGGUUAAUUGAUGGGGUCAGCGCAAGCGAAGCUCCUGAUCGAAGCCCCGGUAAACGGCGGCCGUAACUAUAACGGUCCUAAGGUAGCGAAAUUCCUUGUCGGGUAAGUUCCGACCUGCACGAAUGGCGUAAUGAUGGCCAGGCUGUCUCCACCCGAGACUCAGUGAAAUUGAACUCGCUGUGAAGAUGCAGUGUACCCGCGGCAAGACGGAAAGACCCCGUGAACCUUUACUAUAGCUUGACACUGAACAUUGAGCCUUGAUGUGUAGGAUAGGUGGGAGGCUUUGAAGUGUGGACGCCAGUCUGCAUGGAGCCGACCUUGAAAUACCACCCUUUAAUGUUUGAUGUUCUAACGUGGACCCGUGAUCCGGGUUGCGGACAGUGUCUGGUGGGUAGUUUGACUGGGGCGGUCUCCUCCUAAAGAGUAACGGAGGAGCACGAAGGUUGGCUAAUCCUGGUCGGACAUCAGGAGGUUAGUGCAAUGGCAUAAGCCAGCUUGACUGCGAGCGUGACGGCGCGAGCAGGUGCGAAAGCAGGUCAUAGUGAUCCGGUGGUUCUGAAUGGAAGGGCCAUCGCUCAACGGAUAAAAGGUACUCCGGGGAUAACAGGCUGAUACCGCCCAAGAGUUCAUAUCGACGGCGGUGUUUGGCACCUCGAUGUCGGCUCAUCACAUCCUGGGGCUGAAGUAGGUCCCAAGGGUAUGGCUGUUCGCCAUUUAAAGUGGUACGCGAGCUGGGUUUAGAACGUCGUGAGACAGUUCGGUCCCUAUCUGCCGUGGGCGCUGGAGAACUGAGGGGGGCUGCUCCUAGUACGAGAGGACCGGAGUGGACGCAUCACUGGUGUUCGGGUUGUCAUGCCAAUGGCACUGCCCGGUAGCUAAAUGCGGAAGAGAUAAGUGCUGAAAGCAUCUAAGCACGAAACUUGCCCCGAGAUGAGUUCUCCCUGAGACUUAGAGUCUCCUGAAGGAACGUUGAAGACGACGACGUUGAUAGGCCGGGUGUGUAAGCGCAGCGAUGCGUUGAGCUAACCGGUACUAAUGAACCGUGAGGCUUAACCUUACAACGCCGAAG
Molecule: ribosomal RNA, 1707 nt
Filed under: Salmonella enterica subsp. enterica serovar Anatum
Lineage: Bacteria; Pseudomonadati; Pseudomonadota; Gammaproteobacteria; Enterobacterales; Enterobacteriaceae
Description: bacterial LSU rRNA
Rfam family: Bacterial large subunit ribosomal RNA
Source: RNAcentral